RNAcentral lists this small RNA (62 nucleotides) under Caenorhabditis elegans. Its description in RNAcentral is "Unclassified non-coding RNA F38E11.22". The record is from RNAcentral. Lineage: Eukaryota; Metazoa; Nematoda; Chromadorea; Rhabditida; Rhabditidae.
AGAUGAGCUGUGAACAACAAAUGAUGGAUGAUUGUUUUUUUGAGGAACAAAAAAACAAAAAA